AGAGUUUGAUCCUGGCUCAGGACGAACGCUGGCGGCGCGCCUAACACAUGCAAGUCGAACGAGCGAGAGAGAGCUUGCUUUCUCAAGCGAGUGGCGAACGGGUGAGUAACGCGUGAGGAACCUGCCUCAAAGAGGGGGACAACAGUUGGAAACGACUGCUAAUACCGCAUAAGCCCACAGCUCGGCAUCGAGCAGAGGGAAAAGGAGCAAUCCGCUUUGAGAUGGCCUCGCGUCCGAUUAGCUAGUUGGUGAGGUAAUGGCCCACCAAGGCGACGAUCGGUAGCCGGACUGAGAGGUUGAACGGCCACAUUGGGACUGAGACACGGCCCAGACUCCUACGGGAGGCAGCAGUGGGGAAUAUUGCACAAUGGGGGAAACCCUGAUGCAGCGACGCCGCGUGGAGGAAGAAGGUCCUCGGAUUGUAAACUCCUGUUGUUGAGGAAGAUAAUGACGGUACUCAACAAAGAAGUGACGGCUAACUACGUGCCAGCAGCCGCGGUAAACCGUAGGUCACAAGCGUUGUCCGGAAUUACUGGGUGUAAAGGGAGCGCAGGCGGGAAGACAAGUUGGAAGUGAAAUCUAUGGGCUCAACCCAUAAACUGCUUUCAAAACUGUUUUUCUUGAGUAGUGCAGAGGUAGGCGGAAUUCCCGGUGUAGCGGUGGAAUGCGUAGAUAUCGGGAGGAACACCAGUGGCGAAGGCGGCCUACUGGGCACCAACUGACGCUGAGGCUCGAAAGUGUGGGUAGCAAACAGGAUUAGAUACCCUGGUAGUCCACACCGUAAACGAUGAUUACUAGGUGUUGGAGGAUUGACCCCUUCAGUGCCGCAGUUAACACAAUAAGUAAUCCACCUGGGGAGUACGACCGCAAGGUUGAAACUCAAAGGAAUUGACGGGGGCCCGCACAAGCAGUGGAGUAUGUGGUUUAAUUCGACGCAACGCGAAGAACCUUACCAAGUCUUGACAUCCUGCGACGCACAUAGAAAUAUGUGUUUCCUUCGGGACGCAGAGACAGGUGGUGCAUGGUUGUCGUCAGCUCGUGUCGUGAGAUGUUGGGUUAAGUCCCGCAACGAGCGCAACCCUUACUGUCAGUUACUACGCAAGAGGACUCUGGCAGGACUGCCGUUGACAAAACGGAGGAAGGUGGGGAUGACGUCAAAUCAUCAUGCCCUUUAUGACUUGGGCUACACACGUACUACAAUGGCGUUAAACAAAGAGAAGCAAGACCGCGAGGUGGAGCAAAACUCAGAAACAACGUCCCAGUUCGGACUGCAGGCUGCAACUCGCCUGCACGAAGUCGGAAUUGCUAGUAAUCGUGGAUCAGCAUGCCACGGUGAAUACGUUCCCGGGCCCAUUGUACACACGCGCCCGUNNCAAGGGCGAAAAUUCGUUNNUAAACAUA
Molecule: ribosomal RNA, 1401 nt
Filed under: uncultured bacterium
Lineage: Bacteria
Description: bacterial SSU rRNA
Rfam family: Bacterial small subunit ribosomal RNA
Source: RNAcentral